This 66-nucleotide transfer RNA is filed under the name Lepidurus arcticus. RNAcentral's name for it is "tRNA-Trp". Lineage: Eukaryota; Metazoa; Arthropoda; Branchiopoda; Notostraca; Triopsidae. The record is from RNAcentral.
AAAGUCUUAAGUUAAAAUAAACUAUAAGCCUUCAAAGCUUGAAUUAAGAAUAAUUCUUAGAUUUUA